AGUUAUUUAGCUAAUGUAAGCUUUUGCUUUGAAAGCAAAGAAUAGGAUUUCUCUUAGUAACUU
This 63-nucleotide transfer RNA is filed under the name Centruroides limpidus. Its description in RNAcentral is "tRNA-Ser". The record is from RNAcentral. Lineage: Eukaryota; Metazoa; Arthropoda; Arachnida; Scorpiones; Buthidae.